GGAAGCGGAGAGAACGACCGCCGCCUCAGCGCCUCGGCCCCGGACGCCCCCAGCGGCCGCACCCUGCAGCGCACCCGCGGGGCGGAAGCAGGAGCAGCGGGAGGGCGGGGAAAUUCGGGGCGGGAGGGUGCCUCCGCGGGGAAUCUAACCCACUACGGCAGUUAGCCGCGCGCCACGCUUCUCGGGUUAAAAAAAGACAAACCCGGCCAAAAAAGCUUACUUUUGCAGCUUCCUCUGCGCCUUUCCUUUCAGUUUCCUUGCACCCCCUCUUUUCUUCCCUUUCCUGUGAUUUCUUUCCCUGGGGUUUAAGAAUCAUGGGUUAAAAAGGGCAAACAAUCUACUACGUUGUUUGGGUCAAACGGAGAUCCAAGAACUAAAAUUUCCUUUCGAGUCUCUAAAUUCACGAGACUUCAAAUGUAAAACGAAGACAAGAUAGGAAAAAGGAAAGGGAUUAAGGUGAUGAAGGCCUUCGAAGUGCCCAUGCAAGGCACUGCUCAGCCAUUUUCUCGUGUUGAUGCCCUGUCUAAUCUUUGUCACCCAGGAUAAAAGAUAAUAAUCUGUCUAUAUAAAGAAGAGAAAUACUUAAAAUCAAAUUCUCCAAGGCAGGCUUUAAAAAUCUCCCUAGAUGAAUAGCAAUCAUUUGCCUUCUGUAGGCAUAUGCAGUGUCUACUGUUAAAUGUGUAUGACUUAGUUACAUAAUGUUCCUGUUUUGUUUGUUUGCUUUGCAGUCCUGGGGAUUGAACCUAGGGGUCCUGGAUGUACAUGCCAGCUAAGCUACACCCCCCCCCCCCCCCCUUUGUUUUGAGACAGUCUUAUCAAAUUGUCCAGGCUGGCCUCAAACUUGUGAGUCUCCUGCCUCGGCCUCCCAACUAGCAGGAACUACAGAUGAAAGAACUGAGGCAUGGGGAAAUUAAGCAACUCUUACAAGAUUACCCAAUCGUUUUCUUUCUUGAUAACACUCCACGAAGAGCAAGGAGCGGCUGGGUCCUCCAAGGCUCCAUGAGACCUUGAUACUAUAUCUGGCUACAGAGUCCACCAGGACUAGGGCUUCAACUUGGCUUAAGAACUACAAUUUCCUGCUCUAGCAACACAAUUAGCACCUUUCACAGUAGCACAGAUGUGGAAUCAACCUACAUGUCCAUGAAAGGAUGAAUGCAUGCGGAAAAUGUGACAGCUAUGGACUGAAACUUCUACAAACUGCGAAUCAAAAUAAAUCUUUCCUCCUUUAACUUGUGGGUAUCAAGUGUUUUGUCCCAGCAAUAAGAAAGUAAUUAAGACAACUACUUUGGCUGAGC
RNAcentral lists this long non-coding RNA (1295 nucleotides) under Heterocephalus glaber (naked mole-rat). RNAcentral's name for it is "lncRNA (ENSHGLG00000048835.1)". The record is from RNAcentral. Lineage: Eukaryota; Metazoa; Chordata; Mammalia; Rodentia; Bathyergidae.